GAUGAACGCUGGCGGCGUGCCUAAUACAUGCAAGUCGAGCGAACGGACGAGAAGCUUGCUUCUCUGAUGUUAGCGGCGGACGGGUGAGUAACACGUGGAUAACCUACCUAUAAGACUGGGAUAACUUCGGGAAACCGGAGCUAAUACCGGAUAAUAUUUUGAACCGCAUGGUUCAAAAGUAAAAGACGGUCUUGCUGUCACUUAUAGAUGGAUCCGCGCUGCAUUAGCUAGUUGGUAAGGUAACGGCUUACCAAGGCAACGAUGCAUAGCCGACCUGAGAGGGUGAUCGGCCACACGGGAACGGAGACACGGUCCAGACUCCUACGGGAGGCAGCAGUAGGGAAUCUGCCGCAAUGGGCGAAAGCCUGACGGAGCAACGCCGCGUGAGUGAUGAAGGUCUUCGGAUCGUAAAACUCUGUUAUUAGGGAAGAACAUAUGUGUAAGUAACUGUGCACAUCUUGACGGUACCUAAUCAGAAAGCCACGGCUAACUACGUG
Molecule: ribosomal RNA, 497 nt
Filed under: uncultured bacterium
Lineage: Bacteria
Description: partial 16S ribosomal RNA
Rfam family: Bacterial small subunit ribosomal RNA
Source: RNAcentral